RNAcentral lists this unclassified non-coding RNA (380 nucleotides) under uncultured bacterium. RNAcentral describes it as "contains 16S-23S intergenic spacer region". The record is from RNAcentral.
UCCGGCUUGACGCCGGCAGUCCCCCGAGAGUCCUCAGCUUUACCUGUUAGUAACACGGGGCAAGGGUUGCGCUCGUUGCGGGACUUAACCCAACAUCUCACGGCACGAGCUGACGACAGCCAUGCAGCACCUGAACCGGCAGUCCCCGAAGGGAAAAUCCUAUUUCUAGGAUGGUCCGCCGUUGUCUAGCCCAGGUAAGGUUCUUCGCGUUGUGUCGAAUUGAACCACAUGCUCCACCGCUUGUGCGGGCCCCCGUCAAUUCCUUUGAGUUUCAGCCUUGCGGCCGUACUCCCCGGGCGGGGCACUUAAUGCGUUAGCGCCGACCCUCACGGGGUCGCUCCCCCAAGGAUCUAGUGCCCAUCGUUUACGGCGUGGACUAC